This 253-nucleotide ribosomal RNA is filed under the name uncultured bacterium. RNAcentral's name for it is "partial 16S ribosomal RNA". It matches the Rfam family "Bacterial small subunit ribosomal RNA", at positions 524 to 776 of the family's 1533-position model. The record is from RNAcentral.
UACGAGGGGGGCGAGCGUUAUUCGGAAUCACUGGGCGUAAAGCGUGCGUAGGCGGUCUUAAAAGUUAGGAGUGAAAGCCCCAGGCUCAACUUGGGAAUUGCUCUUAAUACUGUAAGACUUGAAUCUCGGAGAGGAUAGCGGAAUUGUCAGUGUAGCAGUGAAAUGCGUAGAUAUUGACAGGAACACCAGUGGCGUAAGCGGCUAUCUGGACGAGUAUUGACGCUGAGGCACGAAAGCGUGGGGAUCAAACAGG